UGGGGAAUAUUGCACAAUGGAGGGAACUCUGAUGCAGCGACGCCGCGUGAGUGAUGAAGGAAUUCGUUUCGUAAAACUCUGUUCUAUGGGAAGAAAAGGACUGUACCAUAGGAGAAAGCUCCGGCUAAAUACGUGCCAGCAGCCGCGGUAAUACGUAUGGAGCGAGCGUUGUCCGGCAUUAUUGGGCGUAAAGGGUGCGCAGGCGGCUUUACAAGUUGGAUGUGAAAUAUUGUGGCUCAACCACAAACGUGCAUCCAAAACUGCAAAGCUUGAGUUAAGGAGAGGUAAGUGGAAUUCCUGGUGUAGAGGUGGAAUGCGUAGAUAUCAGGAGGAAUACCGGUGGCGAAGGCGACUUACUGGACUUAAACUGACGCUCAGGCACGAAAGCGUGGGGAGCAAACAGG
RNAcentral lists this ribosomal RNA (404 nucleotides) under Fusobacteriota bacterium. RNAcentral describes it as "Fusobacteria bacterium partial 16S ribosomal RNA". It matches the Rfam family "Bacterial small subunit ribosomal RNA", at positions 355 to 776 of the family's 1533-position model. The record is from RNAcentral. Lineage: Bacteria; Fusobacteriati; Fusobacteriota.